This 536-nucleotide ribosomal RNA is filed under the name uncultured bacterium. RNAcentral's name for it is "partial 16S ribosomal RNA". It matches the Rfam family "Bacterial small subunit ribosomal RNA", at positions 355 to 907 of the family's 1533-position model. The record is from RNAcentral.
UGGGGAAUAUUGCACAAUGGGCGAAAGCCUGAUGCAGCAACGCCGCGUGAGUGAUGAAGGCCUUCGGGUUGUAAAGCUCUGUCUUUUGGGACGAUAAUGACGGUACCAAAGGAGGAAGCCACGGCUAACUACGUGCCAGCAGCCGCGGUAAUACGUAGGUGGCAAGCGUUGUCCGGAUUUACUGGGCGUAAAGGAUGCGUAGGCGGAUUUUUAAGUGAGAUGUGAAAACCCUAAGCUUAACUUGGGGACUGCAUUUCAUACUGGAAAUCUAGAGUGCGGGAGAGGAGAAUGGAAUUCCUAGUGUAGCGGUGAAAUGCGUAGAGAUUAGGAAGAACACCAGUGGCGAAGGCGAUUCUCUGGACCGUAACUGACGCUGAGGCAUGAAAGCGUGGGUAGCAAACAGGAUUAGAUACCCUGGUAGUCCACGCCGUAAACGAUGAGUACUAGGUGUAGGAGGUAUCGACCCCUUCUGUGCCGCAGUUAACACAAUAAGUACUCCGCCUGGGAAGUACGAUCGCAAGAUUAAAACUCAAAUG